Molecule: long non-coding RNA, 713 nt
Organism: Olea europaea var. sylvestris
Lineage: Eukaryota; Viridiplantae; Streptophyta; Magnoliopsida; Lamiales; Oleaceae
Exons: 2
Source: RefSeq, a predicted model, not a curated record
CUAAAGAGAUAUACUUUUCAUAAAGUUUUACUGUCUGUCUAUCUCUAUUUAUAUAAAAUUCAACAGCAAAAUUUUCAGACCCAGAAACGAAAGUCGGAGCCUGAGAUCAUAGCCGAGAAAAUAAACAAAACCAAGGUUCAAUUUGAUGUCUUUUGUUUUCUUGGAGGAAUUCCAAAGCUAUAAAAAUGGAGGAUACAGAUUCCCAUUUGAGAAAAUGGGAGGAAAUCGAUAACGAUGUUCUGGUAAAGAUAUUCCAGUGUUUUGACAUCUUUGGGUUGACCUCGUGGCGUUUGGCAGCUUGUGAUCCAUUCAUCUGGAAGACGCUGAUUCAUCAAUGCUAAAAUCGAACUUCAUUAAAACCCCAUCAGAACCCUAUGUAUAUGUUGGUGGUCCGUCUGCUACAACACUAACCCGAGUCUUGAAGAUUGCAUAAAGUCUCAGACAUGGAAACAUAACAACCUUGAUUUUCCAUUAUAACCUAUUUGUUAGCGAUGACCAAUUGACUUAUACAGCAGAGAGGUAUGUCCAGAGGAUUACUGUCUUUUGAUGUACUGAAUCUCAUCUUAGUAGUUAUGUGUACACUUCUAUAGAAUUAGAUGUUGGAAUAAUUAAUAAUUGCAUAUGUGGCUUCACAUUCGAUUGCAAAAUUUUACAUGUUAGAUAUAUGGCUCAUAAUGAUAUUUGUGUUUAGAUCAAAUUUAUUUGGUGAUCAA